GUCUUUUUGAUUAUAAUUUAAAGUCUCGCCUGCCCACUGAUUAUUUAAAUGGCCGCGGUAUAUUGACCGUGCAAAGGUAGCAUAAUCAUUAGUUUUUUAAUUGAAAACUGGAAUGAAUGGUUGGAUAAGAAAAAUUCUGUCUCAAUUUAAAUUUAUUAAAAUUUUAUUUUUAAGUUAAAAAGCUUAAAUAAUUUUAAAAGACGAGAAGACCCUAUAGAGUUUAAUAUUUUUAUUAAUUAGAUAUUUUUAGUAUAAAAAAUUUUUUAUUAAUAAAAAUAUUUGGUUGGGGUGAUUUAAAAAUUAAACAAACUUUUUAUCUAUAAAUACAUUAAUUUAUGAAUAUUUGAUCCAUUAGUAGUGAUUAUAAGAUUAAAUUACCUUAGGGAUAACAGCGUAAUUUUUUCAGAGAGUUCUUAUCGAAGAAAAAGAUUGCGACCUCGAUGUUGGAUUAAAGUUAAUGUUUGGUGAAGAAGCUAAAUAAUUUGGUCUGUUCGACCAUUAAAUCUUUACA
This 511-nucleotide ribosomal RNA is filed under the name Trycherus nitidus. RNAcentral describes it as "partial 16S ribosomal RNA". The stretch from base 385 to 511 matches the Rfam family "Archaeal large subunit ribosomal RNA", at positions 2542 to 2669 of the family's 2987-position model. Lineage: Eukaryota; Metazoa; Arthropoda; Insecta; Coleoptera; Endomychidae. The record is from RNAcentral.